UAGGUGGACUCCAGACUGAAAUCAUGAUGGGUGGUGAUAUUGUACCCACCAGGUGUCCUCUGAGCACCCAAAUAAAUAGAAAUCAUCAAUGGAGUAUAACAGACAAUAUCUCACAGAAAAGGGUAACCUGGUGAUCACCCGUGGAAAAGUGGCUGAUACCAUCCCUGCAAGCAUGUAAAAUAAGUUAGUGUUGGCUGUGUGAAUUCACAGAAAAUUAAGCAGUAGGGAGGCAUGGACAUGGUAGAGCAUUUACCUGCAGCCCUUCCUAUAAAAUAAUCUUCACAAAUAUAAUUGCAUGAUCAUCUCAUGCAGCGUUACA
This 319-nucleotide long non-coding RNA is filed under the name Oryza brachyantha (malo sina). RNAcentral describes it as "long non-coding RNA (OBRA_LNC000478)". Lineage: Eukaryota; Viridiplantae; Streptophyta; Magnoliopsida; Poales; Poaceae. The record is from RNAcentral.